RNAcentral lists this ribosomal RNA (254 nucleotides) under uncultured bacterium. RNAcentral describes it as "partial 16S ribosomal RNA". It matches the Rfam family "Bacterial small subunit ribosomal RNA", at positions 524 to 776 of the family's 1533-position model. The record is from RNAcentral.
UACGGGGGGAGCAAGCGUUGUUCGGAUUUACUGGGCGUAAAGGGCGCGUAGGCGGUCAGUGCAAGUCAGUUGUGAAAUCUCCGGGCUUAACUCGGAAAGGUCAACUGAUACUGCUCGACUAGAGUGCGGAAGGGGCAACUGGAAUUCUUGGUGUAGCGGUGAAAUGCGUAGAUAUCAAGAGGAACACCUGCGGCGAAGGCGGGUUGCUGGGCCGACACUGACGCUGAAGCGCGAAAGCUAGGGGAGCGAACGGG